Long non-coding RNA from Harmonia axyridis, 1099 nucleotides. RefSeq lists it as uncharacterized. The record is from RefSeq and is a predicted model, not a curated record. NCBI's taxonomy places the organism in Eukaryota, Metazoa, Arthropoda, Insecta, Coleoptera, Coccinellidae. The transcript has 3 exons.
CUGAGACAAAAAAAAAUUAUUUGUAGAGGUGAGAAAUAAAACUUGUUCGUCAUGAUUUUAUUAUAAAAAACAUAAUUCAGCCCCAAAGUCACAUCAUAGUGCACUCAAUUUCAGAAGUCCUUCAACAAGCAUGGAGAAAGAUAUAAACUGAUGGUUUUUACAAGAGUAUUGAACAGCAUGGACUUUUAUAUGAAUAUUUGAUAGGUGGUGGAGAUCCAAAAGUUGUCGAAAAAUUCCCAUACGGUCGGCAAGAAUUAAAAAAGGAGUGUGCCAAUCAUAUGACAAGAUGUGUGAACGAUAAGCUCCACAAAUUCGCAAUCGUAAAAUGUUAAGAAUAAAAUAGAAACAUAACUUAUAUGGAAAGAUUGGUUGAAUCUAUGGAAAUGAUAGGUGAAAAACAAUAAGAAUGAUGAGGUUAUGUUACACGAGGAUUUGGGAUCGCACCUUAUCAUAUAUUGGGCUACCACGAGAACUACAGGUGAAUUGUACUUCAAAUAUACACGAUAUUGCAAAAGGAAAAACGAUGGGAAAGAAGGUUGUACAAAAUCCGUUCUUUUUUCAAGAGAUUUUGAAAAUUUUAGAAUCUAUGCAAAAUAAGGCUGAUAGGUUGGCAUACAAAGGAACCAGAAACCUAGCCUAAAGGUAUAUGGCUCUUGUAGCAAAAUGUAUGGGAGGAAAGCGGAUCAACUUUAGCCUAUCCAUUUCAUAAAACUGCCGGGCCUCUAGUGCUGCACUUUUCCAUGCUGAUGGUCCUACCUGUCAUCUUAAUGCAUGGAAAGGAAGUGGCAGCAAUCACAAAAUGAAAAAUUUUGUUUGAAGAGGAAGUAAUAAUGACCAGAGGAAAAAAAAGAUUAUUUGGUCGAAGUCCAGAAAAAGAUGUUUUGGUCCUGAUUAAAAUUAAGGACAAAAUACUUCUCAACCGGAACUGGCAGAAAAUGAAAUGGAGGUAAAGAAGAUAAAUUUCCUUCAGGAGCUACAGGAACGAAUUUCGGGGAUUCGAACGUAGAAGAAAAAAAAAAGAAGACUAUUAAAGGACAGUAUGAUAAUAUAUUGUGGAGGAAAUAUCUGCAGGAUUACCUUAAAUCUUCAAAUUUCGGAG